RNAcentral lists this ribosomal RNA (253 nucleotides) under uncultured bacterium. RNAcentral describes it as "partial 16S ribosomal RNA". It matches the Rfam family "Bacterial small subunit ribosomal RNA", at positions 524 to 776 of the family's 1533-position model. The record is from RNAcentral.
GACGAACCGAGCGAACGUUGUUCGGAAUCACUGGGCUUAAAGGGCGCGUAGGCGGGUGCUCAAGUCCGUGGUGAAAUCCUCCGGCUCAACCGGAGAACUGCCUCGGAUACUGGGCGUCUCGAGUGUGGUAGGGGUAUGCGGAACUAUCGGUGGAGCGGUGAAAUGCGCAGAUAUCAGGAGGAACACCGGUGGCGAAGGCGGAUCUCUGGGCCGAUACUGACGCUGAGGAGCGAAAGCGUGGGGAGCGAACAGG